CCUACUGGAGGCAGCAGUGGGGGAUAUUGGACAAUGGGGGGAACCCUGAUCCAGCGACGCCGCGUGAGUGAAGAAGUAUCUCGGUAUGUAAAGCUCUAUCAGCAGGGAAGAAGAAAUGACGGUACCUGAGUAAGAAGCCCCGGCUAACUACGUGCCAGCAGCCGCGGUAAUACGUAGGGGGCAAGCGUUAUCCGGAAUUACUGGGUGUAAAGGGAGCGUAGACGGUGAUGUAAGUCUGGAGUGAAAGGCGGGGGCCCAACCCCCGGACUGCUCUGGAAACUAUGUGACUGGAGUGCAGGAGAGGUGAGCGGAAUUCCUAGUGUAGCGGUGAAAUGCGUAGAGAUUAGGAGGAACACCAGUGGCGAAGGCGGCUUACUGGACUGUAACUGACGUUGAGGCUCGAAAGCGUGGGGAGCAAACAGGAUUAGAUACCCGGGUAGUC
Molecule: ribosomal RNA, 442 nt
Filed under: uncultured bacterium
Lineage: Bacteria
Description: partial 16S ribosomal RNA
Rfam family: Bacterial small subunit ribosomal RNA
Source: RNAcentral